CAGACUCUCCAAAGAGAAGCCAGGCCAAGAAGAAUCCCAGGACUGGAAGGCCUUGUGGGACGUCCCAGGGCAUUCAUCUACUAUGUGUUUAUUGCACCCUUUUUCCAUGUGAGGCACAUGCCAGGGACUGGGCACAUGGUAUGAACAAGACACAGGUCAUCGGUGUCCUCUUGAGCUCCCUGGCUUGGCAGCAGAUGCAUACCUGGGAAGGAUGCUAGGUCGUCCGGGAACUCUACCUCCUUCAAAUCCCUAAGGACUGUGCUCCCAAUCCGCUUACGCUCAAGGAAGAACUGCCUGGAAGCCCUCCCUGGUACCAUACCCCAGCCGAUGAGUAUGUACCCCCAGAAGUACUUCCGCUCAGAGAAGAAGGAGACGGCAAGCAGGGUGUACAG
Molecule: long non-coding RNA, 392 nt
Organism: Pan troglodytes (chimpanzee)
Lineage: Eukaryota; Metazoa; Chordata; Mammalia; Primates; Hominidae
Exons: 4
Source: RefSeq, a predicted model, not a curated record